GGUUGGUCUGAGGGCAGUGCUGUUUACAACUAAUUGAUCACAAACCAGUUACAGAUUCCUUUGUUUGUUCUCCACAUCCACUGCUUCACUUGACCAGCCUUAA
Molecule: Y RNA, 103 nt
Filed under: Microcebus murinus (gray mouse lemur)
Lineage: Eukaryota; Metazoa; Chordata; Mammalia; Primates; Cheirogaleidae
Description: Y RNA (ENSMICG00000046125.1)
Rfam family: Y RNA
About the family: Y RNAs are components of the Ro ribonucleoprotein particle (Ro RNP), in association with Ro60 and La proteins. The Y RNAs and Ro60 and La proteins are well conserved, but the function of the Ro RNP is not known.
Source: Rfam by way of RNAcentral